This 253-nucleotide ribosomal RNA is filed under the name uncultured bacterium. RNAcentral describes it as "partial 16S ribosomal RNA". It matches the Rfam family "Bacterial small subunit ribosomal RNA", at positions 524 to 776 of the family's 1533-position model. The record is from RNAcentral.
UACGUAGGGUGCAAGCGUUAAUCGGAAUUACUGGGCGUAAAGCGUGCGCAGGCGGUUAUGUAAGACAGAGGUGAAAUCCCCGGGCUCAACCUGGGAACUGCAUUUGAGACUGCAUAGCUAGAGUACGGUAGAGGGGGAUGGAAUUCCGCGUGUAGCAGUGAAAUGCGUAGAUAUGCGGAGGAACACCGAUGGCGAAGGCAAUCCCCUGGACCUGUACUGACGCUCAUGCACGAAAGCGUGGGGAGCAAACAGG